This 273-nucleotide long non-coding RNA is filed under the name Capsicum annuum. RNAcentral's name for it is "long non-coding RNA (CANN_LNC013588)". Lineage: Eukaryota; Viridiplantae; Streptophyta; Magnoliopsida; Solanales; Solanaceae. The record is from RNAcentral.
CUUAGGAAAAGCUAUAUCUGAUGAAGAACAAGUCGAGAAGGUACCGAGGGUAUUACCAAAAUCAAAGUGGAAUAUUAAGGUGACUGCAAUCGGGGAAGCAAAUAAGGAACUUGUAGGCAUAUCCCUGGAUGAAUUAAUGGGGAAUUUAAGAACUUAUGAAAUGGAAAUUGAUGGAACUAAAGUUCUAGAAGCCCCAGAGGAUACCUUAGCUCUGAAGGCAUCUUAUAGUGAUGAAGAAAUUAAACUUAAUAAAGAACAAGUUGCCUUUAUAAC